This is a long non-coding RNA of Diospyros lotus (date-plum), 11964 nucleotides long. RefSeq lists it as uncharacterized. The record is from RefSeq and is a predicted model, not a curated record. The transcript is spliced from 8 exons. Lineage: Eukaryota; Viridiplantae; Streptophyta; Magnoliopsida; Ericales; Ebenaceae.
ACUAUUGUUUAUGCAUUGGAGCUCAUUUGUUCUAAAAGUAAUCAUUGAUAUUCUAGCUGCAAUCUCCUAAAAACAUAAAUCCAAGAGGUAAUUUUCUUGGCUUAGUUUGGUCACUUCGGAGAGUGAGCAUUUUUGGAGUUGUGGUCACAAAUCAGCCCUUCUCAUGAGGACGGACCUAGAAUAUCUCAACAUUGGUCAGAAUUUUUUAUCUCAAGAGGAAGUGCCUGAGAUUUUCUCAAUUGUGGUAUGAGGCUUCAAAAGUCAUUGUCUUCACAAGUCGUUAGGUUUCUCAGGUCUGUAAGUGUCUGGUCAAGGUUACUUGAUCUGUUCAGAAACUUGUUUCCAGGAGUUAUUUGAGACCAGAACUUGGUAAGAUUGAGGUCCAAAGCCUAUCCGAAACAAGGAUGGAAGGUAUGUGCCAGCGGUUUUGGUUCUCCACAGUGUGAGGCUUGUCUAUCUGCCAAAGUUGGGCAAGAAUGGAUGUGAGGGAUGCUGCUUCAAUCUAGUAGAUCUUCUAGAGUGCUGUUUCAGGUCAGUCUUAUCUGGAAGCAUCAUUUAAACCCGUCACUUGAAGUUCUUACCUUGUAAAUUAUGAGUGUGACUUCAGAGAGAGGCUUGAGACUUUCUCUGCAUUUUUGUAAUAUUUGUUUGAUUUGGGUGCUGCUAGUCUGGGAGUUUUCCUGAAUGCCAUUUAAAGGUGCCAGGUUACUUCCGACAUAGAGGUGAAGGAUUUAUGUGAUUACUUAUUUCUUUUGUCUUCCCCUCCAAGGAAGAUGCUUGUGAGGAAUGGUGAACGGAGAUUCCAGGACCAUUUUGGGCAAUUUCUCUUGAUGUGCCAAAUUUACUUGACUAUCUACAGUGGUCGAGGCUCUACUCCCUUUAGAUCCGGAAACACUUGGCUUAGGCUGGACAAUUUAGUUUGAAAGUUUUGGAGCUCUUAUGAGGUUUUAGAGUCUCCAAGCUUUUCUCUUUCUAAGAAGCUGUGGUAGUUUAAAGUUGAUCUAAAGAAAAUAGAGGUUCUAGGAAAAUUAACGUGAGAAUCAGUAAGCUACUCGAGGAUAUUAAAUUUCCCUGAUCGAAAAGGGAGACAGAUUCUCCCAUUGACUGAGAGGGUAGUAAAAUUGAUGAGAAAAGAGUGGUGAGUUUAGAAAUAGAAAUCUAUAUUAUUCUUUCCAAAAGGUGAGUAGUAUAUGAAGUUCUAUCAUAAAACCGCAAGUGAAACAAUCAUAUGCACAGAUAUAUUGAGGUUUAGUGAAGAUAUCGUUAAUAAAGAAGUGGAAUUAAGUGGCUAGGAGGGUUCUUCGCACAGGAGACUGGGAGUCCAGAGUCCAGACAAUCAUUGGCUUGGAUUUUAAAGUCUUACUUGAGCAAUGUGACUGGUCUUUAGAGACCCUGCCUCCGUAAGCAAUGGUAAAAGCUUUAAAGUGCCUAAAUAGUGAGAAGGCCCUUUGACCAAGAUGGCUUCUUAAUUGCCGUUUUAGUUGUUAGUGGUACCCAAGUUUGACUGAUGUAGAGAGACUCCCGUGGGCUCUGGUCAAAAGGGAAGUUAUUCAGGCAAAGCAUCUGCAAACUAAUGGAGUUCCUGAAGGUUCUGUUAAAUUGAGUAGAUAGUUCUAGAGGGUUGAGGCUGCGAGAUUUUCAUAUUUGUUUUAAUGAUUAUGCCAGCUGAGAGUUUUGGGUGGGUUGAGUGGUUCCAGGGGCUGGUUUUAGGAAGCGGGGUAUUAGUCGACUCAAAAGUCAAUUUAUAAAGAUUGAAGAACACGCAUGUGUUAUUUUGUACAAAUUACAUAUCAAAUUAGAUAUGACAAAGAGUCAUAAGGGUCUUACAUAUAGAAAAAUGAAUGAAUGAAUGAUUGUUUAAUUAGAAUUUACGCAGUCAAUUCACCUUUGGUGCAAUAUAUAUAUAUAUAUAUAUAUUCAUGCACCUGGGGUUGAGUUGAUGAGCAACAUUCAAAAUCUAUGGAUUUGCAUUUUAAUUAUGAUGAUGAUAAUAAAAGCGAUGUGGAUGGAGCAAUAUUCCAAAAUAGGUUUUGCCUGGAAGUUGCUGUAUGCCACUCUCUCAUGUGAGGAUGGAUGCAUACAAUGAACUUUUUUACUUCAUUGUUGACAAAUUGCAGAGAUGAAUCUUUGGCUUUAAAGUAGAAGAUGAAGAUUUUAUUCGUAUCUUAUGCCCCUCUUAUUUUUAUUAAAAUAGAAGAUGCUUUCGUUUUAUUAGCAAAACAAUGCAAUGGCAAUGGAUUCCACGUGAUUUUCGCCAACUAUCCCCCCGUUCCCUAAAAUCAUUCAUUAUUUUAUUUAUUUAUAUAUAUAUAUAUAUAUGAAGUAUCCUUUUUGUAAGCGUUAUUUUAUGAUAAAUUUUAGUUCACAAUGUGGUGAUUUCUCAAAGACCAUUAAAAAAAUUGUCCAUUUAAGACUUUUUUUAACUUCUUGGCUCUUAUGAUAAAAAAAAAAAGAAAAGAAAAAACCUUAUUGGCUUUUGAUUUUGUAUCGAUUUUUAAAAAAAAUAAAUAUAUCACUUUUGUACAUAUUGGGUUAUAUAAGAGGAUAUUAUGAUUAAAAUAUCUCUUGUCUAGUAAGAAAAUGUAAUUUAAGUACGGAGAGUAUUAUAAUAUAAAGUGUUCUUAUUAUUCUCUCUUCAGAUUUCAAGGUUAUAUCAAAGUCUCUGGACAGUCCGAAAGUUUCUAUUGAACUGAACUUGGUAAUGAUUGAUUGGGUAUGGAUGGAGCAAGGAAAAAAUAUGAAAACAAUUUUAAAAAAGAAAUUAUAGUUAUUGAGUAGUGUGUUUUAAAAAGGUUUAAAGUGAAGUCAAAUUUUCACAAAAUUAAAAUUAAAAUAAAAGAAAACAAACUAAACACUAAACCACCUUCUUAAUGAAGUUUGGAUAAUAGCAAGAUGGGCCACUAUUACAAUUUAUAUGAUUUUAAUUUAUAGGUAAAAUUUUUAUUAUUGAUUCAGUACUUGUGUAUAUCUUAAAUGUCAUCCUUACAUAUCUAAUAUAUAUAGGUUAUUUCAUUGUAUAUUUAAGAGAGAGAAUUUUAAUUAUUGGUUUAAGAUUAUUACGAAAAUUCUUAAAAACUCCUUAUCUGGUAACUUCUUACCAUAUUAAUUAAUAAUUAAUGGUAAAAUAUAACAAGUAAACAAUAAUUUAGAAUUAAAAUUUAAAUAUCCUGUGAUAAGUAAAAUUAUUAUUAUAAGUUAAAUUGAAAAAAAAUAAAAAAUUCCAUUGUACGUACGAUGCAUUUAUGCAUUUUUUACCCGAAUCCGAACCCGAACCCGAACCCAAACCCGAACAACCUGCCCAGACUAUCUCAUUAAUUUGCAUCCGUUGACGGUGCCCGCUGAAUCCAAAAAGGGCUUAAAUCCAACGGCCAAUUCACUCUCUCAGAACAGUUACCACUUACCAAGCAAGCCGCUAAAACCCAACCAAAGCUCUCUUUCUUUCUACGGACAGAGAGCGAACGAAGACUGUGAAGAGUGCUCGAUCCAUGGAGAAUGAGAGAGAGCAACAGGUUUCCUUGGCCAGACUUGCAGAGCAAGCCGAGAGAUACGAUGACAUAGAAGCAAAAACUGCUAUUACUUUUACUGUUUUACAGGACAUCAGACUCAUCAGUCAUCACCAUGUGAUCCAAAGCCAUCUCCAUUAAGCUAUGCACAGCAUGAGCAUGUAUAUGGGAGUGGGAGCCUCGGAGGCAUUUGUGAUUGGAAAGUGCAUUGGUUUGGGGUUCAAGCGUGAAACACAAGCCACAAAGAGUAGGCAAGUGUUCGUGGUCGGUUGUUUUUUUACACUAGGAGCAUGAACUUGAAGACGAAGAUGUUGUGCAGAUUAUUAAGAAAGUGUGAUUACAGAACCAGCAACUUCACAUCAGAUUGCAGUCCAUAUUCUUCUCUGAGAAAUCGAGGAAGCCCCAGUACACAGUGUCUUUGGCGAGGACCGUCACCUUCUCCCUAUAAACCACGGGCUUUGAUCGAUCAGGCAACAGCCGGGUUGGGUAAGUCCGUGUCCCGGGUAAGUCCAGGUCGGAACCCGUGCCCUGGCCCCUUGGAUACACGCAGCUGAUAUACUACCACACAGGCCCAGAAUCGAACAUGCGACCUUCCUGCUCCUGAGUCCCCGAACAUGUGCGGAGGACCACUUGCACUACCCCAAGGGGUUGAUACUAGACCAUUUUUUGGAGGAGCAGUUCCCAGAACAAUAAGCAUUCAGAAGGGAAGCUGUAUCCAAAUCCAAGCAAGCUGAUAAUCAAAAUGGAAGUUCAUCAACAUGAAAAAAGCAUGUCUGAAGUGUCUGAAGCCACUCCCUACAUGGCAACCAAUAAGUCUCCACCGAUGGCAGAUCAAUCUCCCGAAGCAAGCACAGAUGCUGGACACGGAGCAGUAUUAGGUGAUUUGCCUAACAUCCAUAUGUCCUAUCACCUAGAUGGAAGAAACUAUAUGCAGUGGGCACAACUAGUGAGGACUUUUCUUAAAGGCCGGGGGAACAUCAGCCAUCUUACUGCCCUCCCUCCAAAAGCUACUGAUCCUAUAUUCCCGGCAUGGGAUAUUGCAGACUCCUUGAUAAUGUCAUGGAUGUGAAAUGCCAUACUACUUGAGGUAAGUAGGAAUUAUAUGUUUUUGGGUUUUGCUAGGGAGAUUUGGGAGGUAGUAAAGCAAACUUAUUCCAAAAUACAAGAUGCUUCAGUUAUCUAUGAAGUUAAAACUAAAAUCAGUAGUUCUAAACAAGGAGGGUUGUUUGUCACUAAGUACUACUAUCACAUGAAUGGAUUAUGACUAGAGUUAGACCACUACCAGAAUAUCAAGAUGCUUUGUAGUGCUGAUGUUGUAAACCUUAUCCAAAUAAUUGAAAGGGAUAGGAUUGUUGAAUUUUUGGUUGGUCUUAACUUUGAGCUUGAUCAAGUGAAGGUGCAGAUACUUGAUCAAAUAAUUGAAAGGGAUAGGAUUGUAGAAUUUUUGGCUAGUCUUAACUUUGAGCUUGAUCAAGUGAGGGUGCAGAUACUUGGCAAGGAAAAACUCCCUUCCCUUAAUGAGGUGUUUGCUAUGGUAAGGAGUGAAGAAAAUCGAAGGAUAGUGAUGCUUAAUGAAUCUAACACUGAUGGAUCUGCAAUGAUGUUAAACAAAGGAGAAGGGUCACGGCCUAGACCUGGGAGAACAGAGGCUCAAGGUUGAGCUAGUAGUAGAGAGGGACUAUGGUGCACCUAUUGCAAGAAGUCUCGGCAUACCUGAGACACUUGCUUCAAGCUUUAUGGAAAAGAAGCUAUCUUAAAUAAGAAUGGAGGCUUCAAGAACUUGACUAUCUCACAAGGGACAAGAGGAAGACAGAUCAGUAGAGAAGAUAGAGAUUGGUUCAAGUUUAGAUCUCACCUCAUUCAAUGCCGAUGAGAUCAACAAGCUAAAGUCCUUCCUCAAAACGAUUCAAGAUGGAGCCUGCUCUCUAGCCCAUCAGGAAUCCUCAGGUAAUUGCUCUCAUUUUGGAUUCCUUUCUAUCUUAAAAGCUGAUAGGAAUGAUACUUGAAUUUUGGAUUCAUGAGCAACAAAUCAUAUGACUCCUAACCCCCGUGUGUUUUCUACCUAUCAACGCCUUGAGACCUCUAAACGAAUUACAAUUGCUAAUGGCACAUCAGUCCCUAUAGUUGGCCAUGGUAGAGUUAACCUCAGCCCUAAUCUCUCUAUUAAACAAGUGCUUCAUGUACCCCACUUAUCAGCCAAUCUUCUCUCUAUUCGUUAGCUCACUAAAGACUUAAAAUUGCUAGGCCAUUUUUUCUCCUAAUCUGUGUGAGUUUUAGGCAAUGAACACAGGGAAGAGGAUUGGUGUUGCUAGGGGAAAGGAUGGGUUGUACUGCUUAAUGAGGGAGGUUCCUUGUCCAUCUAGAGACUAGUUGCAGGUGGCUUGCUCUUCACGAGUUAAAGAUGAUCAUCAAGACAUAUGGCUACAUCACUAUAGACGAUCAUCAAGACAUAUGGCUACAUCACUACAGCCUAGGUCAUCCCCCAUUUACUCUAUUAAAGGCUAUGUUUCCUACUCAAUUUCAUUCUAUAGAUCCUAGUGUGUUUCAUUGCGAUGUAUGUGUUAUCUCUAAACAACAUUGUAUUUCUUAUCCAAUUAGCAAUAAAAUCUACUCUAAACCCUUUGCAUUGAUUCACUUUGAUGUAUGGGCCCUUGUAAAAUUCCUAAUUAUUCUGGGGGCUCGUUGGUUUAUCACCUUCAUUGAUGAUUAUACUCAUAUGAUAUAGGUUUUUUUGUUAAAAGAUAAAGCAACCACAAGUACAGUGUUACCAAUUCUUUGUAAAAUGAUUGCUACUCAAUUUGGAACUCUUAUAUAGAAAUAGAAAUUAAGAACUGACAAUGCACGAGAUUAUUUCAAUCAUUGCAGGCAUUAGUUUUUCCAAUAAGAAAGAAUUGUCCAUGAAUCUUCUUGUAUAGAUACUCCACAACAAAAAUGAAGUAGCUGAAAGGAAGAUGAGAUAUCUCCUUAAUGUGGCUCGAGCCGUACUUCAUCCUCAUAGGGUUCCUAAAAUUUUUUUGGGGGAAGCUGUCCUUACCAUUGAUUUUCUCAUUAAUUGAGUACCCACUAAGAUACUACACAAGCAGAGCCCCCUUACAUGCCUCACAAAUCAUUUUCCAGAUUACAAUUUGCAUACCCCCCUUCCUCCUAGAGUUUUUGGUUGUGUUUCCUUUGUUCACAUUUCCAAACACCAUCAAGAUAAGCUUGAUCCCAAGGGCAAUAAAGUGUAUUUUUCUAAGGUAUUCUCCUACACAAAAAGGGUAUAAGUGCUACCAUCCUCCUACUCGAAAGCUGUAUGUAUCUAAAGAUGUCACAUUUGUUGAGUCAAUUCCAUUUUUUAGUUCACCUCCAACAGGUCACUAGGGAGAUUCUUUAUGGUGACCACAGUUUUGGUGACAUCCCCUUUCCUAACCUCUUGUCUACUCCUCAGGAUGAUCCUCAGUCCAUUGCCCAAACUAGUCCAACUACUCAAACUCAACCUUCUCUACCCAUUAACCUAUCCUCAGGCUGCCAUAAUCAAGGGCAUGAUCAAGUUGAGCCUGAUGAUCAAGUAGCCACCCAAGGGCUAUCAACUCUAGUGCAGUAUAAGCGGUCCCCUUACGUUUACAAGCGGAGGCAGCCUAGACUAGAAACUCAGCAUACACCAUCCUUGGCUCCUACUCAAGGUAUGGAUCUCAGGCAGCCUACACCUAUAGCUUCUGUUGGCCCCAUUUUUGAUGAUUUAGACCUUCCUAUUACAGUUAGAAAGGGAAUUAGAAGUUGUAACUAACAUCCAUUAACCAAUUACCUAUCCUAUCACCGUCUCUCCCAAAAACACAAGAGUUUUUUGGUAUCUUUAGAUUCAAUUAUCAUUUCUAAUUUAGUAACUGAGGCUCUAAAGGAUCAGAACUGGAGGCAAGCUAUGUUGGAGGAGAUGAGUGCAUUAAAAAAGAACCAUAUAUGGGAUCUUGUGUCUAGACCUAAGGACGUCAAUCAGGUUGGGUGUAGAUGGAUUUUUAAUAUAAAAUACGAGGCAGAUGGCACUCUAAAGAGAUAUAAGGACAGGCUGGUAGCUAAGGGCUACACACAAUCUUAUGGAAUUGACUACCUUGAAACAUUUGCUCCAGUGACAAAAAUGACUACAGUGCAGAUACUCCUCUCAUUAGCAGCCUAUUUUGGGUGGAACCUUCAACAGUUAGAUGUAAAGAAUGCAUUCCUUCAUAGAGACUUAGAGGAGGAAGUGUUUAUGGAAUUGCCACCAGGGUUUCAAUAAGGGAAUGAAGGAAAGAUUUGCAGGCUCAAGAAGGCCCUAUAUGGGCUCAAGCAAUCCCCUAGGGCUUGAUUCAGGCAUUUUUCUAAGGCUGUGAAGACUAUAGGAUAUGGCCAAAACAGGGGAGACCACACUCUCUUCAUAAAACACUCAAAAGAAGGGAAAGUUACAGUUCUUUUGGUGUAUGUAGAUGACAUGAUUAUCAUUGGCAAUGAUGAAGAGGAAUAGGAGAGACUCAAGAAAAGGUUAGCCAAGGAAUUCAAGAUCAAAGACUUGGGUAUCCUUAAGUAUUUUUUUAGGAAUUGAGGUUGGCUAUUAUAAAGCAGGGAUUUUCCUCUCUCAAAGGAAAUAUGUGCUGGAUUUAUUGGUUGAAAUAGGGCUAAUUGGUGGAAAGGGUCUAAAAUUCAUAUUGAUCCUAACAAGAAGUUAUGUAACAACCCUAGCGGCCAACCGGUGGACAAGGGAAGGUACCAGAGGCUAGUUGGGAGAUUGAUAUACCUCUCACACACUAAGCUAGACAUUGCUUUUGCAGUCAGCCUAGUGAGCCAAGUCAUGCACAACCCAAUCGAGGAGCAUAUGCUAACUGUAAGGAAGAUCCUAAGUUACCUAAAGGUCACUCCAGGUAAGGGGAUCCUAUUUAGAGUAGGGAAUGAGCUGGACAUCAAGGGGUUUUCAGAUGCGGACUCUGUUGGGUCCAUGACAUAGGUGAUCAACAAGUGGCUAUUGUGUUUUCCUAGGUGGAAAUCUGGUGUUAUGGAGUAAGAAACAGAGUGUUGUAGCAAAAUCAAGUGUAGAGGCAGAAUUUAGGGCUAUGGCCCUCGAUCUAUGUGAAGUUUUGUGGCUGAGAAUCAUCCUAGAAGAUCUAAAGAUUCAAGUCCAAGGCUCAAUUGGGUUAUGGUGUGAUAACCAAUCAGCAAUUAGCAUAGCUCAUAAUCCUGUCAAACAUGACAAGACCAAACAUGUGAAGAUAGACCAACACUUCAUAAAGGAGAACCUUACGUUCCAUCCGAGGAACAAGUUGUUGAUAUACUGAUCAAAGGACUGCUUGUGAAAAGGUUUGAAGAGCUAGCAAGCAAGCUAGGAAUGUGGGAUAUACAUUCUCUAGCUUGAGGAAGAGUGUUAGCUCAUGAGAAUACCAUGUGUGGCAUGUGUAUGAGUUUAGAAGCUUCCAAAUCAGGUUUAGGAAACUUGCCUAAACCAAUCUUGGGAAACUUUCCUAAGUGUGUAAAUAUAUCUCUUCUUAUUGUAUAGGUUUAUGUUUCCUAUUGUAUAUAUAUGUUUAGGUUUCCUAUUCAUAUAUAUACCUCUUCUAUAAAGAGGUUUGCCUGUGUACUUUGAAGAAAAAAAAAAGGAAGAAUUAUUUCAUCCUUUACAAAAAGCAGUAUCAUUUAUGUUUUAAAUCUUUUCUUGAGUUGGUGCUUUAAGUUUACAAUCGGUUUUUGGUUAUUUUUUGUCAAUCGGUUAGUUCAGAUUCUUCGGUCUAUUAGAAAGUUCAUUUUUUUCGAUUUUUUGUGAUAGUUUGGUUUUCGGUUCGAUUUAUAUGGUUUAUUGUUAACCUUAGGACUCUUAGAUUACACCCUUAGACAAGAAAACCCUCACAUAAACCCUCUUAAACACUCUCGGAUGCAAUGUAAAUGUAAGAACAUAAAACUGAACAACAGAAAAGAAAAUAACUGAAUUUAACAGAUCAAACCAAACAGCAUUAGGCGCAGAUUUAUCCUGGUUCGGAAUGUCUUUGGCAAUCCUACAUCCAGCUUUCAAACACCCACCAAGAGCAGUCUUUAUUUCCAAACAGAAGAUCAGUACAAAACUCAAGCUCUCUCUCAAUCCUAUCGCUCAAGUACAACCCUUGUUCACUCCAAGAAAAUUCAAGAACACAAUACACAUGCCUCACUUUCUCUAGAACAAAUAAUACUCACAAUAGAAACAGAGAACUUGACAAGAGAGAGGAGUUAUUAGACUGCUGCCUUGCCCUCUUAUUUAUAGAGGAGGCAGACACACUUAGGCAACUAACUAACUUAGGGAAAUUACAUAUUAACCCCAACAAAAUGUACUAAUUACACUUAACCCCAAGCUGCCUAAUUUCUUCAGCCAAAACUACUCUUUUAUACUCCUUCCGAUUCUGCUAUCUUCUAGGACAAAACUCGAGGCAAACUUCAACAAAUCUCCACCAUUUGCCUUGAGUUCUUCACCCGAUAGCCAACUCCUGCUUUCUCCAUGGAUGAUGAACAAACCUGAUCAUAUCAAACACAAACACAUCAAAGAAAACAUAUCAAUGUUGUAAAACAUAAUAAUGGACCACUCUUUGGAUAAAUUCCAGCUGCAAUAACUAAACCUGCAACUCUCAUUAGAUAUUAUCCUCCUCAAGGGAUUUCCUAAUUAACAUAUUCCUAACACCGAUAUGAUUGAUAUACUAUAUGAUGGGACUAAUGACUAAGCCAAAUGGACUGCCCAUUGGCUGUUUCAACUCCUCCUACCUAGACUAUAUUUUUAGGGUUCCUGCUGCCUACAAAAUGCAACAUAUACACCCUAAAUGCAUAAUUUCCAGCUAGGCACACUCCACCAUAAACCAAAUCCAUAUAUAAUGUUACUCAUUAAUCCCAAAGGGUCUAAACUUUUACAUAGCAUUUCAACACCAGUGAACCUCUCCCGGAAUUGAACUUAACAUUGCUAGACUUCCUCCUAGCUUCCAAAACCGGCCUUUUAGGAUUUACCACUGCCUUUUCCUUUUAUGUUUGCUUCAAAACAAGACUGCUAGACCUCUUUUCUUAACUCUCCUCUAUUUCCAGCUUAACAAAGGUAUAAUUAAGAUUUGGGUAUUCCUAGGCUGCCAUGAGCUGUCCUAUUCCUAUUCCAACCUCUACGCCUUAUCUUUCCAACUUCCCCUCCUUCCAACAAUCUCAAACACUGAACUACCACCUCAGCUACACCUUGAGAUUCCCAUUGGAUAACUAUCAAUGAAGCUGCCUUACUUUUCCUAGGCAUACCGUUGAAAUUGACACAGCUUUCCUAUGCACUCAAUUUACCCCUUUAACCUAAGGGAUCUUCCACCUGAGUCCAAGACUCUCCCCAAAUUUUCAUGGCUCCAUGCCAUUCAUUUGGUCAUGAGUGCAACCCUCUUUUAUACAAGGGGCUCUAUAUCCCAGCCUAUCCUUAGCACCCAAACCUGAGCCUAAGCAUCUUAUAAACCUAAAUUUCCAUACCUCACUGGAAACUAACUUAAGACCUAUCACUACCCAUCCUAGGUAGCACUCUAAACCUUCUAUUCCCUUGCUCAUUUCCUACAAGAUGAUUCUCCUUCCCUUUCCUUGCUUAAUCUGGACUUUUGAUCAAUAAUGGCUACACCAUACAAGGACACACUUGCACACACCAUUUCUCCUCAUUGUUCACAAGGACCCUCACUGCAAGCGCCAAAGCUAUCUUAAAUACUAGCUUCCUCCCUCUCACAAUCUAGCCCAAGCUUACACAAUGAAUUUGACCAAAAUAUUUUCCAGAUUUCCCUAUUGAUAUACCCUGGUUCAUAGGUUAGAUCCAGACAUCCAAAGGAUUUGGGUUAAUCGAUUAGUUCAAUUCAAAAGUACAAACACUUUAGGAAUGUGCCACAUAUUUUUGAUAAUUUUCCAAAAUUCACAUCACACUCAUCCAAACAUUGUAUUAUUUUUUAUUUUGCCCCCCAAAUUUGGACACAUCUGUCAACAUUUGUAUCCAUAGUGGAAUCUUGCAUAUCCAUCAUUUGAACAAAUUAGAAUCACAUUUUAUGUUUAAAAGAAAUAGGAAAGUUGAAAAGUAAUUAUAAAAGUAAAUCAAUGUAGAUGUACAUUUAUUUGGCUUUCCUUCUUUGAACUUUUUAAUUCAAAAUUCAAAAAUAUAGAAUUUAAAAUUUGUAUUUGUUUAUUAAUAGACCUUUUUAUAUACAACACGUAUGUGUGAAAACUUGUAAUAACACUUGUUUCUUCACUUAGCUAUUUCAUGUUCUUGGUGCAACUUGGUUGUUUUGCAUAUUUUGGUUACAUUAAACAUAUUUUAAAGAUUUCACAAAAAAUUAUUUCAAAUAUAUAGCCUGAUGAGGAAAAGCUUCUUUUUUGCACGAGCAUGUAUUCCUAAAUCCAAUAGUGCUUGAGGUGGAUAUACAGUGUUUGAUAGAUUAAGCACGCAUGAGUUCGUGACAUAUAUUUCAAUUCUAAAGUGGUGAUUUGCAAUAUAUUCUUUAUGGCA